GGGCCCGCACAAGCGGUGGAGUAUGUGGUUUAAUUCGAUGCAACGCGAAGAACCUUACCAGGGUUUGACAUCCUGCGAACCUCUUGGAAACGAGAGGGUGCCUUCGGGAACGCAGUGACAGGUGGUGCAUGGCUGUCGUCAGCUCGUGUCGUGAGAUGUUGGGUUAAGUCCCGCAACGAGCGCAACCCACGUCUUUAGUUGCCAGCAUUUAGUUGGGCACUCUAGAGAGACCGCCGGUGAUAAACCGGAGGAAGGUGUGGAUGACGUCAAGUCAUCAUGGCCUUUAUGCCCAGGGCUGCAAACGUGCUACAAUGGUACGGACAGAGCGAAGCGAGGCCGCGAGGCGGAGCAAAUCGCAAAAACCGUGCCCCAGUUCAGAUUGCAGUCUGCAACUCGACUGCAUGAAGUUGGAAUCGCUAGUAAUCG
RNAcentral lists this ribosomal RNA (426 nucleotides) under uncultured bacterium. Its description in RNAcentral is "bacterial SSU rRNA". It matches the Rfam family "Bacterial small subunit ribosomal RNA", at positions 917 to 1344 of the family's 1533-position model. The record is from RNAcentral.